Molecule: long non-coding RNA, 804 nt
Filed under: Carica papaya (papaya)
Lineage: Eukaryota; Viridiplantae; Streptophyta; Magnoliopsida; Brassicales; Caricaceae
Description: long non-coding RNA (CPAP_LNC001535)
Source: RNAcentral
CUCUAUUUGAUCUCACUCCUACACAACUUUAGUUUUCCCUUUUCUUGUUUUCUCCAUGCUUCCAGAACUAGGUUGAUUGGAUUGGGAUCACCCUCAUAUUUUAUUUGAUUUAGAAAAACAUCAUUAAAUAACAGGAUGAGCAUAAAUUGCGCAAUAAGCCCAGAUUAGCACCUCAAGCAAUUAGAAUCUAUAUUACAUUGCAGUAACUCAUUCACCCUGGUGGUGUUUUCCUCAACUCAAAUCACUUACCUAUAAUUUUCACUUAUCCUAUAAUGCCCCGCAACCUAUAAUAGUCGAGGUAUCCUGUUUUAAAUUACAAGUAAUACAUACUUCUCAAAUUCAUCAUUAUCAACCCAGUCAAAAUGUUCCUUAGCUUCCUAUCAACAUACGUUACACCACAAUGAAUGACAAAGAUGUUCUUAUACAUGUGUGUUAAUUUUAGCUAUUAUGUUCGUAUGAGUAUAAUGGUGUAAAUCUCGCUUAUUCUCCUCUUGUAUCCCUAUGUAUUGGAUUCCGCUGGUGGUGAAUAUUAUCUUGAUUCCUGCUUCACUACAUCUGUAAAUAAACAGGAAUGAGCCUACCCAUGCCCAUGAAGUCAAAUUUAAAUUCAAACAAUGUAUUGAAAUCAAUAAAAUUCCUAAACCGGAGUUGCACUCAACUAUCUCUCUCACUCCAGACAGUCCCCUUUUUCCCUCUAAAGGAAUAUUGUAGAUAUUUUAAACUCUCCCCAAAGCUCGCAGGUACAAAUAGCCCAUUAUCACUUCCCUGACUUGUCCCAACAGUCUCUAUACUCUUUGUCAUCAC